CCCCAUAAAGAAUUGAAUAUACGCCCAGGAAUUUCACCAAAUGCUAUAAUCCCAAUUUUCUUGAGAACCAAUCUGAAAGAUUAGCUAUUACAAAUCCUGCAAAAACCUGAANAUAGCUAAGAAUGUAAAUUGCCGAAUAAUGACGACCAUGAAUCACCAUAUCAGCCACCAUAGCAAGAGGGAUGGUGAGUGACAUACCCAAGGUAGCCACCAAUGGAGUUGUCCAUACAACACAUAAUGC
RNAcentral lists this unclassified non-coding RNA (241 nucleotides) under Hevea brasiliensis (rubber tree). The record is from RNAcentral. Lineage: Eukaryota; Viridiplantae; Streptophyta; Magnoliopsida; Malpighiales; Euphorbiaceae.